GACGAACGCUGGCGGCGUGCUUAACACAUGCAAGUCGAACGCUGAGGCUCAGCUUUUGUUGGGUGGAUGAGUGGCGAACGGGUGAGUAACACGUGAGUAACCUGCCCCCUUCUUUGGGAUAACGCCCGGAAACGGGUGCUAAUACUGGAUAUUCACUGGUCUUCGCGUGGGGGUUGGUGGAAAGGGUUUUUCUGGUGGGGGAUGGGCUCGCGGCCUAUCAGCUUGUUGGUGGGGUGAUGGCCUACCAAGGCUUUGACGGGUAGCCGGCCUGAGAGGGUGACCGGUCACAUUGGGACUGAGAUACGGCCCAGACUCCUACGGGAGGCAGCAGUGGGGAAUAUUGCACAAUGGGCGCAAGCCUGAUGCAGCGACGCCGCGUGAGGGAUGGAGGCCUUCGGGUUGUGAACCUCUUUCGCUCAUGGUCAAGCCGCAACAAUGGUUGUGGUGAGGGUAGUGGGUAAAGAAGCGCCGGCUAACUACGUG
This 483-nucleotide ribosomal RNA is filed under the name uncultured bacterium. Its description in RNAcentral is "partial 16S ribosomal RNA". It matches the Rfam family "Bacterial small subunit ribosomal RNA", at positions 28 to 507 of the family's 1533-position model. The record is from RNAcentral.